Molecule: RNase P RNA, 283 nt
Filed under: Candidatus Methanophagaceaer archaeon GoMg4
Lineage: Archaea; Methanobacteriati; Methanobacteriota; Methanomicrobia; Candidatus Methanophagales; Candidatus Methanophagaceae
Description: RNase P RNA component
Rfam family: Archaeal RNase P
About the family: Ribonuclease P (RNase P) is a ubiquitous endoribonuclease, found in archaea, bacteria and eukarya as well as chloroplasts and mitochondria. Its best characterised activity is the generation of mature 5'-ends of tRNAs by cleaving the 5'-leader elements of precursor-tRNAs.
Source: RNAcentral
GAGAGAGGAAGAGCAGCUGCCGGUCUUCUUUUUUUAAGAAGGCUGAGGAAAGUCCCUCCACCAUAAAUAAGGAUAAAACACGAACGCCGCGAGGGCGUAAGGCGAGAGUCUUGGCUCUGGUAUAGAAACGAUACCGUGCCAUACUAAGUAACAGAAACGUGAUGAUUCCGUGAGGAUGAAUUCGUAUGGUUGCGGAUGGAACGACCAACCUCGUGGGUGCAAGCCUGAGGAAGGCGCGAAGAUAAAUGCUGCUGAAACAGAAGGGGGCUUACUCUCCUCACUC